ACGAACGCUGGCGGCGUGCUUCACACAUGCAAGUCGAACGGAAAGGCCCUGCUUUUGUGGGGUGCUCGAGUGGCGAACGGGUGAGUAACACGUGAGUAACCUGCCCUUGACUUUGGGAUAACUUCAGGAAACUCGGGCUAAUACCGGAUAGGAGCUCCUGCUGCAUGGUGGGGGUUGGAAAGUUUCGGCGGUUGGGGAUGGACUCGCGGCUUAUCAGCUUGUUGGUGGGGUAGUGGCUUACCAAGGCUUUGACGGGUAGCCGGCCUGAGAGGGUGACCGGCCACAUUGGGACUGAGAUACGGCCCAGACUCCUACGGGAGGCAGCAGUGGGGAAUAUUGCACAAUGGGCGGAAGCCUGAUGCAGCAACGCCGCGUGCGGGAUGACGGCCUUCGGGUUGUAAACCGCUUUCGCCUGUGACGAAGCGUGAGUGACGGUAAUGGGUAAAGAAGCACCGGCUAACUACGUG
This 467-nucleotide ribosomal RNA is filed under the name uncultured bacterium. Its description in RNAcentral is "partial 16S ribosomal RNA". It matches the Rfam family "Bacterial small subunit ribosomal RNA", at positions 29 to 507 of the family's 1533-position model. The record is from RNAcentral.